This 419-nucleotide ribosomal RNA is filed under the name bacterium. RNAcentral's name for it is "partial 16S ribosomal RNA". It matches the Rfam family "Bacterial small subunit ribosomal RNA", at positions 355 to 776 of the family's 1533-position model. The record is from RNAcentral.
UGGGGGAUAUUGCACAAUGGGCGAAAGCCUGAUGCAGCGACGCCGCGUGGGGGAUGAAGGCCUUCGGGUUGUAAACUUCUUUUGCUCUGAACAAGGCGCACCAUGGGGUGUGUUGAGUGUAGGGGUUGAUUAGCGCCGGCUAACUACGUGCCAGCAGCCGCGGUAAUACGUAGGGCGCGAGCGUUGUCCGGAAUUAUUGGGCGUAAAGGGCUUGUAGGUGGCUGGUUGCGUCUGUCGUGAAAGCUCAUGGCUUAACUGUGGGUUUGCGGUGGGUACGGGCUGGCUUGAGUGCAGUAGGGGAGGCUGGAAUUCCUGGUGUAGCGGUGGAAUGCGCAGAUAUCAGGAGGAAUACCGGUGGCGAAGGCGGGUCUCUGGGCUGUUACUGACACUGAGGAGCGAUAGCAUGGGGAGCGAACAGG